RNAcentral lists this ribosomal RNA (492 nucleotides) under uncultured bacterium. Its description in RNAcentral is "partial 16S ribosomal RNA". It matches the Rfam family "Bacterial small subunit ribosomal RNA", at positions 29 to 507 of the family's 1533-position model. The record is from RNAcentral.
AGUGAACGCUGGCGGUAGGCCUAACACAUGCAAGUCGAACGGCAGCACAGUAAGCGCUCGCCCUUAAGGGUGGCGACUGACGGAUGGGUAAGGCAUACAUCGCAUUCUUAUUUUUCGUGGGGGAUUUCGUAAGGCCGCUUCCGCUACUACCGCAUACGACGUACGGCUGAAAUCAGGAGUUCUUCGUACCUUUCGUGACUCUUUGAGCUGAUGUCGGAUUAGCUAGUUGGUUGGGUAAAGGCACACCAAGGCGACGAUCCGUAGCUGGUCUGAGAGGAUGAUCAGCCACACUGGAACUGAGACACGGUCCAGACUCCUACGGGAGGCAGCAGUGGGGAAUAUUGCGCAAUGGGCGCAAGCCUGAUCCAGCCAUGCCGCGUGAGUGAAGAAGGCCUUCGGGUUGUAAAGCCCUUUUGUUGGGAAAGAAAAGCAGCAUGUUAAUACCCCGCUGUUCUGACGGUACCCAAAGAGUAAGCACCGGCUAACUUCGUG